This is a long non-coding RNA of Vicia villosa (hairy vetch), 1038 nucleotides long. RefSeq lists it as uncharacterized. The transcript is spliced from 2 exons. NCBI's taxonomy places the organism in Eukaryota, Viridiplantae, Streptophyta, Magnoliopsida, Fabales, Fabaceae. The record is from RefSeq and is a predicted model, not a curated record.
GGAUUAGGGUUCGGUGUGACCUUUGGCCUCUUUCAGAACUUCGCUCUCCCUCUUUCAAGCGACGGCGGCGAGGUCCCCCCCUCGAUACUCCGACCAAGAUUCCAACGGCGCCAUCACCGUCCUCACCUAUCUUCUUUCGAACUCUCCGUCUCCGUCUCGUGAAACUACGACUUCCUCUGUUCUCUUUUCCGUUCAAGAUGCGUGACCGUUGUUGUGCUCUUCUGUUGAGAACGCGUUGUUGUUGUUCGCAGUGAAGGCAAUGAGGAAUUAUGGCUAUAGGAAGCGAUGAUGUUGAAUCGUGGUAGAGAAUUGAAGUCAAUUUCGAAGGUUUGCGAGAGAUGCUGCAGAAUUCCUGAUGAUAGAUGAUGAAGAUUGUGUGGCGCUCAGAGUUGAACCGUGGAGUGAUGACGAUUUGAGAUGUAGAUUUUUGAGAAGUUGUGGUGGUGGAUUGAAGGUUGUUGAAGUGCGAAGAUGAGGAGGUUGAUCGUGGAGAUGAAACGAUGAUGGUGAUGUUGCGGUUAAAGGAUGAAGAUGAUGAUUCGGAGAGAGUGGAGAGAAUUGGAUGAUGAAGAUGGUGGAGGAUUGAAGAAUGGAAGAGGAAGCCCUGAAUAAUUGUGGAGAUGUUGAAUAUAUAGUGUGUAUUGCUACUGUUGUGAAUAUAAACUUUACUGCUUCUGGAUGAUUAGGCUAUAUGAAUGCGGUAGGUUUCAAGUUGCCGAACCGGGCUUCUCAUGGCUUCUUUGCAGCAGGUGGAGUUAUGGUUGGAGGAUGGUGUUUGUGACGUGAAGACGGUUGGAGUAACAGGCUGCGACGGUCACCCUUGGAGCUUGACGAAAGUGGGACGGUUUGGAAGACAUGAUGUAAUAGGUUUAGGAUUUUUGUGUAAUUCACUUUUUGUGACAAAUUGUAUGGACAUGUAUUGUAAUGGAUUCGGUGAACACUAGAAUGAAGCCUCUUUUUUUUUUUGUAAUAUGGCUUGUAAUGGAAUUGUAAAACUUAAUGAGACGAACUCUAGUAUUUUUGUAGUUUUCAAUGGAA